This 253-nucleotide ribosomal RNA is filed under the name uncultured bacterium. RNAcentral's name for it is "partial 16S ribosomal RNA". It matches the Rfam family "Bacterial small subunit ribosomal RNA", at positions 524 to 776 of the family's 1533-position model. The record is from RNAcentral.
UACAGAGGGUGCGAGCGUUAAUCGGAAUUACUGGGCGUAAAGCGUGCGUAGACGGUUAUUUAAGUCGGGUGUGAAAGCCCCGGGCUCAACCUGGGAAUUGCAUUCGAGACUGAAUAGCUAGGGUACGGUAGAGGGAAGUGGAAUUUCCGGUGUAGCGGUGAAAUGCGUAGAUAUUGGGAGGAACACCAGUGGCGAAGGCGGCUCACUGGACUGGUACUGACGCUGAGGCGCGAAAGCGUGGGGAGCAAACAGG